RNAcentral lists this ribosomal RNA (1483 nucleotides) under uncultured Bacillota bacterium. Its description in RNAcentral is "bacterial SSU rRNA". It matches the Rfam family "Bacterial small subunit ribosomal RNA". The record is from RNAcentral. Lineage: Bacteria; Bacillati; Bacillota.
GAGAGUUUGAUCCUGGCUCAGGACGAACGCUGGCGGCGUGCCUAACACAUGCAAGUCGAACGGAGUAGAUAUUUCGGUAUUUACUUAGUGGCGAACGGGUGAGUAACGCGUGAGCAACCUGCCUCUUCGAGGGGGAUAACAGUUGGAAACGACUGCUAAUACCGCAUAAGACCACAAUGUCGCAUGGCAAAGAGGUCAAAGGAGAAAUCCGCGAAGAGAGGGGCUCGCGUCCCAUUAGGUAGUAGGCGGGGUAAAGGCCCACCUAGCCAACGAUGGGUAGCCGAGCUGAGAGGCUGAUCGGCCACACUGGAACUGAGACACGGUCCAGACUCCUACGGGAGGCAGCAGUGGGGAAUAUUAGGCAAUGGGCGAAAGCCUGACCUAGCAACGCCGCGUGAGGGAAGAAGGUCUUCGGAUUGUAAACCUCUGUCGCAGGGGACGAAGAAAGUGACGGUACCCUGUGAGGAAGCCCCGGCUAACUACGUGCCAGCAGCCGCGGUAAUACGUAGGGGGCGAGCGUUGUCCGGAAUUACUGGGCGUAAAGGGUGCGUAGGCGGCGCUUUAAGUUGGAUGUGAAAUCCCCGAGCUUAACUUGGGGUCUGCAUCCAAUACUGGGGCGCUAGAGUGCAGGAGGGGUAAGCGGAAUUCUCAGUGUAGCGGUGAAAUGCGUAGAUAUUGGGAAGAACACCGGUGGCGAAGGCGGCUUACUGGACUGUAACUGACGCUGAUGCACGAAAGCGUGGGGAGCAAACAGGAUUAGAUACCCUGGUAGUCCACGCUGUAAACGAUGAGUGCUAGGUGUUGGGGGGCUUCCACCCCUCGGUGCCGGCGUUAACGCAUUAAGCACUCCGCCUGGGGAGUACGGCCGCAAGGCUUAAACUCAAAGGAAUUGACGGGGACCCGCACAAGUGGUGGAGCAUGUGGUUUAAUUCGAAGCAACGCGAAGAACCUUACCAGCUCUUGACAUCUUCUGACAGCUCUAGAGAUAGAGUGUUCCCUUCGGGGACAGAAUGACAGGUGGUGCAUGGUUGUCGUCAGCUCGUGUCGUGAGAUGUUGGGUUAAGUCCCGUAACGAGCGCAACCCUUGUUGUCAGUUGCCAGCAUUUAGUUGGGCACUCUGGCGAGACUGCCGGUGACAAACCGGAGGAAGGUGGGGAUGACGUCAAAUCAGCAUGCCCCUUAUGAACUGGGCUACACACGUGCUACAAUGGAUGGUACAGCGAGUCGCUAAACCGCGAGGUCAAGCAAAUCUCCUAAAGCCAUUCUCAGUCCGGAUUGCAGGCUGCAACUCGCCUGCAUGAAGCCGGAAUCGCUAGUAAUCGUGGAUCAGAACGCCACGGUGAAUACGUUCCCGGGUCUUGUACACACCGCCCGUCACACCACGAGAGUUCGUAACACCCGAAGUCGGUCGAGCAACUUUAUAGAGCCAGCCGCCGAAGGUGGGAUGGAUGAUUGGGGUGAAGUCGUAACAAGGUAGCCGUAG